CGUGUCCUACGGGGGGCAGCAGUGGGGAAUAUUGCACAAUGGGGGAAACCCUGAUGCAGCGACGCCGCGUGAAGGACGAAGUAUUUCGGUACGUAAACUUCUAUCAGCAGGGAAGAAAAUGACGGUACCUGACCAAGAAGCCCCGGCUAACUACGUGCCAGCAGCCGCGGUAAUACGUAGGGGGCAAGCGUUAUCCGGAUUUACUGGGUGUAAAGGGAGCGUAGGCGGCGAUGCAAGUCAGAAGUGAAAGCCCGGGGCUCAACUCCGGGACUGCUUUUGAAACUGUGUUGCUAGAUUGCAGGAGG
Molecule: ribosomal RNA, 305 nt
Filed under: uncultured bacterium
Lineage: Bacteria
Description: bacterial SSU rRNA
Rfam family: Bacterial small subunit ribosomal RNA
Source: RNAcentral